UGAUGUUUGAUAAAAGAAUUGAAAAGCUUAAAUAAAUAAAUAAAACGCAUAUAUAUAUGCAUGCGUGUGUACGCUACAGGAAUAAAGAAACACUAAUGGUCUUUUACCUUGGUAGUGACUAAUUUUGCAGUCAUAUUCAUGUGUGCACAAUGCAGCAAAAGUAAGCAUCCGCCUUUUUUCUUUCCUACAAGAAGAGAUGGAUAAAUAUAAAUAACUAUUAACCAUAGUCCAGAUAAAAGGACGAUUUAAAAUGUGUUUGUACCAUAAUUGACCAAUCCCGAAACUACUGAGCACCGGUCAACGUAUACCGUCAAGGACCCAGAAGAGUUUCCCUCCAACCAGGAGGCCAAUCACAGCGCGACACGUGUUGACAUCAUAAGCCAAUCAUAGCGCGACACGUGUCAACAUCAGAAGCCAAUCACAACACGACACGUGUCAAUAUCAGAAUGAGAUUAGAAACUCUCUUCUAUAAAUAGAGAUCAUUCUCUCACAAUAUUUCCUAAUGUCAUUUGUACUAAAUCAUUCACUAGUACUCACUAAAGAAGAGCUUGAACCUAUGUACUUGUGUAAACCCUUCACAAUUAAUGAGAACUCUUCUACUCCAUGGACGUAGCCAAUUUGGGUGAACCACGUACAUCUUGUGUUUGCUUCCCUGUCCCUAUCCAUUUACAUACUUAUUCACACUAGUGACCGGAGCAAUCUAGUGAAAGUCACAAACUUAACAUUUUCUGUGGUACCAAAGUCCUCACUGAUUUUGUGGAUCAACAUUUGGCGCCGUUUGUGGGAACGACACUUAUUCCCACUCUCUUCAGCUUUGUCAAGCUGGUUUCCACCAUCCGUACACUCUCUUUUGACCAGACAUCCCUCUCUAACAUAAGGAGCGAAGGAAGCCACAGCACACAGAAUGACACCCCUCUUGCACUUAGUGCGAAGCAACGAAAUAAGGAAGGAAAGAUGGUUGCUCUUCAAGUAAAAGUCGAUGAGCUAGAAGCUCAAAACAACAAGAUAGCAAUGAAGAAUGAGGUCCUCCAGGAGUAGUAUGAGAAGCUCUUUCAGACGCUCCACAAAAUUAGGUGUACUCAAACACGCGAGCUCGUUGCCCCUGCAGACAUCAACCAUCAUCUGGGUGCCCCCAACACAGAGGGUCACCUUCCUUCAACAUGGGUAUCCCUGAUAAAGAGCGUGCUAAUCAUCAAAACAUUGAUCAACAUGAGACUUCUCUCAACCUAGCUGCUUCGACCCAAAGCAGGACAUUGCAGAAGGGUUGGAAUGAUCGAAAGCCAUUUAUCGUGACUGCUGAGACUUCCUAAAGCAACAUCGAGAGAAUCCCCUCCAUAUAUGCUCGAAGAUUAAUGACCCAAGGGUUUCUGAAAGACUCGGUCCCCCUCCCACGACCUAGGCCAGCUGCCAAUCCAGGGAAUGAACGAUAGGUCCCAGAGAAACAUGAAGGUACGGGGGACUCUGAGGUAUUCCGACAAACUCGCCCUAGAAGUUAGUACGGCGAGUCCAAGAAAAAACCACACGCCCAUGCUUAAACUUUCCUACUUCCAAAAGGCGAUUGAGACUUACGAAAGAAAAUUCUAGUGGUACAUAACUCCACUCAUGACCCCAUUGCCCUACAGCUCCUUGAGGAAGUAAAUAAGUUGAAGGCCAAAUGUCAGGUUAAGAUACCUAACUGAAACCAACCCAGGCCUGGCCCUCUCACAAGAAAGAUCCUCGACACCUCCUUCAAGCGAAGAUAAAACAAAAACUUGGUUUACAACUCUAUACUGGAAGGGAUAACUUCUUUGAGUCCACCAUGGCAUAUCAGAUGCACAUCGACCAAGAGCGAUGUCUUCUCUUCCCCUCCAUCCUCUCUGGCGGAGCUCUAAACUGGUAUUGCCGUCUUCCACCUGAGACAGUAGACUCAUUUGAGGAAUUGAGGAAAUUGUUUGUCUCUCAACACAUCUUCCAGACCGAUCACUUGCAUUAUGCAGAUGACUUGUACAUUAUUCACCAGAAGCCGGACGAGUCACUACAAGAGUAUGUCGGUCGCUUCAGCCAUGAGUAUUCUCGUUGUGCUAAGGCAGAUGAUAAAAUCGCCCUCAAGGCCUUCACGGCAGGCCUACGUGAUUGUUUCUUCAAGUACAUAAUUAAUGCUACACUUGGAAGACUUACUCUGAGGUAAUGGCACAUGCUUACAACCACGCCUCCGCCGAAGCAAGGACAUACCAAGGGAACCCCCAUAUGGUUAACCCCUAUCAACAAAUGGGAAAUGGAAGUCAAGUUCUACCAAGUGAGGAGAUAUUGGCCAUUCAGACACCCAUUGCAUCAUCUCCUGCCUCAUUUAGUUACUCGCUAAGUCACCAAACAUAUUUGUCUCUUGGUAAGAAGAAGGAUUUUUACUCUCAGCAAGCCCAUUACAACAAGAGAGAUAAAAAUUCGUAUCAAGACAACCAGGGGUAAACGUACCGUUGACUAUUAUGACUAUGGGGCCAAGCUUCACUCUUUCAAAGUGGAUGACUAGGUACUGAAGGAAAUGCUAUUAUAAGAAGGCAUACACAUUACAAAUGUUUUGACCCUCAACCGCUUGAAAUCUUUUGUCACACAAGCCAUUCGGCAAAUAUUUAAAGAAGAGGGAAUUCAGACAACUUCUUCUGAGUCUUUUGCGUUCUUAGCACUGGAACAUUUAGUCUACACUGACCUACCCUUAUACUCCAACUUAGAGCUUCAACAUGCGUACUUUGACACAAAGUAUGUGAUACUAAGUGUUACAACCAACAUGGUUCACAUAUCAAAAGCAUGGAUCCCUUCAUACAUAUCAAAACAUUCAUAAGCAUCACUCAUAUCAAUCAACAUAAACAUUAUACAUUCCAAAACAUUCAUACAUAGACAUCAUACAUUCCAACACAUUCAUACAUAAACAUCAUACAUUCCAACACAUCCAUACAUAAGCCAACUGUGCUUCGAAAGGGUUAAACAUACUUUGUGUCUUCGACACUUGCUACAAUGUACCUCGACACCUUGCCCUUAUUCUCACCAACCAGGUGAUGAAAUGUACAACCCGUACUCACAUUCAUGCCACAAACCAGGUGAUGAAAUGUAUAACCCGUACUCUAAUAUCAUUUGGCAACUUGCCACUCAUGCCACCAACCAGGUGAAGAAGGAACUCAUAUUCAUGCCACCAACCAGGUGAUGAAAUGUACAACCCGUACUCACGUUCAUGCCACAAACCAAGUGAUGAAAUGUACAACCAGUACUCUAAUAUCAUUUGGCAACUUGCCACUCAUGCCACCAACCAGGUGAAGAAGGAACUCAUCUUCAUGCCACCAACCAGGUGAUGAAAUGUACAACCCGUACUCUCAUUCAUGUCACCAACCAGAAAAAGGAAAUUCAACAAAUUUCUAGUUUUCCAAAAAAAGAAAAAAAAAAAGGGAAAUUCAACAAAGCUUCAUCAAUGGAGGACAACUACAAAUUCUCAAAAGCUUCACACUAUCUUGAUCAAGAUAGUGUGAAGCAAAAUCAAUUCAUGGUACCCAACAAAAGCUUCAACUCCAAAGCUUCACCAACAAAAGCUUCAUCAAUGGAGGACAACUACAAAUUCUCAAAAGUUUCACACUAUCUUGAUCAAGAUAGUGUGAAGCAAAAUCAAUUCAUGGUACCCAACAAAAGCUUCAACUCCAAAGCUUCACCUACAAAGCUUCAACUCCAAAGCUUCACCUAUAAAAGCUUCACCCACAAUAGCUUCACCUACAAAAGCUUCACCUACAAAAGCUUCACCCAUAAAAGCUUCACCAACAAAAGUUUCACCCACAAAAGCUUCAUCCACCACAAAAGCUUCACCUACAAAAGCUUCACCCACAAAAGCUUUACCCAAAAAAUUACAAAACAAUCUAACUAAAAGUACAAUAACCUUGAGUAACAGAGGCAGUUUAGCACCCAAAUAAAAUUGGUAGAUUAACGAAUAUGAGUUCAAACGCGGAGGAAAGCAACAAAACCAAUCAAACAACGAAUUACCAAUAGAAUAAAAUGACAAAUAUGAAUAUCUUACAAAAAUGCAAGCAACAAAUUACCAAUACUCAAACAAAACCUCACUUCAGUGAAAUUCAAAUUUGGAGAAGGUUAGAGAAAAAGGACUUGAUGGGUUGGAUACAUGUAAUUGAUGCAGACGGGGCAUUCACUACAGGAAACAGACAUGGUUAGUUGGAAGAGGCAAUCUGCAAACACUAAUUACCAGUAAAUAUUCACAGAUAGAAAGCCUUUAGAUCUGUAUGUGUUCUUCGAAACAUCGUCAAAUUUUUAUCUAACGUGCCGCAUGGUCUGGGUCUGCAUCUCCAUAGCGAGUCUUUCCACAAAGUCCUUGGUGUAGUCCAAAAACAACACAAUCAAAAUCAACGAAGAAUGAAACCCAAAAGUAGAAUUAGGUAAAAUAAAACGCUAGAUAAACCCUGAAAAAUCUAAAAACCAUUCCAGAGUCAGAGUGAUGAGUAUUUAUGUUCAACGGUAGAAAGGGAAUUUCACCACUUGCCUGAUUCUGAUUACUUGAUGAGGUUGCAAAGUGGGGACUUGGACCUUGCUGCUAGAUAACAGGCAGGCUGUUCAAUGAAAACUCAUGAAUAAGCUUGUCUUUGUCAACCUUUUCGUCCAUUCCCUGCAAUAGAUUUGUAUAUAUUUCAAAAUCAAAACUCAAGAUAGAGGGGAAAAGUAGACCAAAAAAUGGAUUAACAAAAACAAUUAAUUCCCAAUAAUAUGAAAUCAAACGCCAAGAACACAAAAGAGAAGAGGUAAACAAAAUAAAAAACUGAAUAUCUGGUAGACUGAGAUGAGUCAAUAUUUGUGUCAUGGAGAAAGAUAUAACCCAAACGUAACUGCUCAUAGCAGUUUCAAAAAAUGACACCACGUUCAUCCUCUCCCUUGUGAACGGUUUUGCCAUUUUAGUUUGGAUUAUCUCAUUUUUCUAUUUGUUUUAAUUUGUUUUUGUUGCCAUUAUCUUUUAUCUAUCUCUCCUCUCCAUAACUGCUAACCUUUUAGAGGAUAAUUAUCAUGAUUUAAAAAAAAAAUUAAUUAUCAUGUUUUGUUUCAAUACGGUUACUGUUAAGUUCUUUUUUACGUUUUUGUCCCAUUUUUCUUUACUUUUUUUCUUUUUCUUUUUUUUAUAUUUUGUUUUUCAAUACUUUUUGAGUGCUACUAGACCCACCCCAGUGUCUUACACCCACAUGAUAAUCUCACCCACCAUAUAAAAUUAAAAAAGUAAAAUGCUAUUUCCCCACCCAUCAUUAUUCCCAAAAUAACCAUAAUAUUUUUUUAAAUAACUCUAAUAUAUCUUUAAAUAAUAUUAUAAAUAAAUAAAUAAAAAUAGAAAAAAAAAUGAAAGAAAAUGCAAGACCUAAGACCUAGACAUUCAUCAUCUCCUUCACACCUAAUGCCACUCUGCAGAGACCUCAGAUCCCCAAACCACUCUUCUUCCUCCUUUUUUGUCAAAACCGAAGAUCUCACAACCAAUUCUCUUUUUCCUCCAUUGAAGUUUCUCGCCUUCAUCUAGCACACGUCCAUUCCUUCCUCCAACCUUUCCGUCAAUUCUAACCCAAAUCUUUCCUAACCUCUUUCCACCAAAGUAUCACACCCAAACCACCAUUAUUUAUUUAUUAUUUUAAAUUAUUUGUUUUUUCAAAAUUUUAGUACUGAAUUAAAUAGGGGUUUAAGAGUCUUCUUUUAAAAUGAUAAAUAUGUUAUUAACAUUUUCAUUAAAUGGUGGGUGGGGAAAUAAGACAUCGGGGUGGGAAUAUCACCACUCUACUUUUUUUUGUUAAGAUAUGAUUUUUUACCAAUUUGUCCUUUUUUUUUUUUGAAUUUUUUGAGUUUUGAUUGUGAAGGAAACAAAUGGGCAUUUUUGACAUUUUGGAAAGCUUCACCAAACUAGGGCUCUCACUUUAUAUAUAUAGAUUAUUAUUGAAAAAUCGACAUUUAACCCAUUGAAAGUUAAAUUCUAUCUCAAUUUGUCUUCUUUUCGUCUUCUUCAUCUGCCAUCCCAGUAAGUUAGAUCAUGCGACUUCCAAGAAUUAAAUGACAAAUUUUUUGUUUCGAAUGACAACUUGAGACUCAAGUGUUGUUUUCGAGGUAAAUGAAUAAUCAAAGGCAAGUCAUAAACCAUACCCCAAGAAAGAAGAAAAAACAAACAAAUACCAUUGAUUUAAAAGAAAACUAAUGAGCCAUUGAUUUAAAAGAAAACUAAUGAAAAUAGUUUCAAACUUCGAAUAUUUAACCGAAAGAAUCCUAGUAACUUUAUUUAAUGGUGUAGACAAAAUUCAACAUUAAACAGCCAUGGAGUUUUAAUAAAAGAGUAAUGAUAUUCAUACCAUCUUUUUAUACCAGAUUUCUAUACGACCUUAGGUGGCAUCAUAUGGACAACCACAUUAUUUGAAAAUUUUGCAAAACCCAAGGAAAGGAAGGAGAAAGACUUCUCGUAUACCACAAUCAUCAUUUAAUUAACUAGUUUUUCUUAAUUAUUAGUUUAUUAAAUAAUGAACUAAAUUUAAAAAUCUAAUUAAUUCAAAUGAUGUGGCUGUCCACAUCAAAUGUCACCUAAGGUGGUAUGAAAAUGUGGUACGAAAAUAUGAUAUGAAUAGCAUUAUUGUUAAUAAAAAGGACUUCUCUAAACUUUUUCUUAAACAAAAACAACCUAGUGACUUUAUUUAAUAAAAAAGAUUUGAAUUUUACUAAAAAAAAAAACCAAAAGCUUAAUAUAAUAAUUAAAAAACCUAAAAAUAUUUUUUCUCCUUAUAAUCUCUCUUCUCUCCUCUGCCACUUCCUCUCUUUCCUUUAUGCAAAGGGAACUCAUGUUUUUCAAAAAAUAAAGAGGAUUAAGUGUGGAGCCCACUCCACAUCAAACUUCAACAAUCCAAACAAUCUACUUUGUAAUUCUUGAUUCAUAGAUCAUGUUUACAAAAAUUUAAUUCAAUCCGAAAUCAUUUGCCUAUUUAAUUAUAAAGAUAAAAUAUCAUUAUUUCUUAUAUAACAAAGUAUUCGUUAAUUUUUUUAAACCCAAUUAGAUGUCUUAAAUAUUUUUGAUUUGGCUAAUAUUUUGCAAAGAUGAUCUAUGAGGUGUAACUUGAAGAAUAGAUGCUUGGAUCGUUAAAGUUCAAUGUGGUGUGCACCCUACAACUAAUUCCCAUUUAAAAAAAAAGGGUAUCCCUUCCCUUAGAGGCUUCCUCUC
RNAcentral lists this long non-coding RNA (7192 nucleotides) under Malus domestica (apple). Its description in RNAcentral is "long non-coding RNA (MDOM_LNC008024)". Lineage: Eukaryota; Viridiplantae; Streptophyta; Magnoliopsida; Rosales; Rosaceae. The record is from RNAcentral.